AAUUAUUUAUUUGAUGGUUUCUUACUACAUGGAUAACCGUAGUAAUUCUAGAGCUAAUACAUGCGCAAAGUCCCGACUCUCGCGGGGAGGGAUGUAUUUAUUAGAUUAAAAACCAAUGCGGCCUUUGGUCGGACUUGUGUUGAUUCAUAGUAACUUUUCGGAUCGCAGGGCUUCACGCCGGCGACAGUUCAUUCAAAUUUCUGCCCUAUCAGCUUUCGACGGUAGUGUAGUGGACUACCGUGGCAUUUACGGGUGACGGAGAAUUAGGGUUCGAUUCCGGAGAGGGAGCCUGAGAAACGGCUACCACA
RNAcentral lists this ribosomal RNA (308 nucleotides) under uncultured eukaryote. RNAcentral's name for it is "SSU rRNA". It matches the Rfam family "Eukaryotic small subunit ribosomal RNA", at positions 111 to 414 of the family's 1831-position model. The record is from RNAcentral.